UGUGCUUUGAUAAGAGUAGAGCACAUCAUAAGAGCCUCUUGUGGAGAUAGGCUAAUUCUGCCCAAACUGAGAGUGAGUUUUGGAUAGACUGAUUAUUAUUGAAUCUUUACCAUGGAGAAUGGUACACGACGUGAUCAGCUUUAUCCUCUCUCUAUUGUCUACUUAGUGUUUCUCACUCCAAGUGUGAUUGGGAGUUUUUCUGUCCUGGUGGUUUCCAUUGUGA
Long non-coding RNA from Scomber scombrus (Atlantic mackerel), 223 nucleotides. RefSeq lists it as uncharacterized. The record is from RefSeq and is a predicted model, not a curated record. NCBI's taxonomy places the organism in Eukaryota, Metazoa, Chordata, Actinopteri, Scombriformes, Scombridae. The transcript is spliced from 3 exons.